RNAcentral lists this ribosomal RNA (449 nucleotides) under uncultured bacterium. RNAcentral's name for it is "partial 16S ribosomal RNA". It matches the Rfam family "Bacterial small subunit ribosomal RNA", at positions 354 to 796 of the family's 1533-position model. The record is from RNAcentral.
GUCGAGAAUCUUUCACAAUGGGGGCAACCCUGAUGGAGCGACGCCGCGUGGAGGAUAAGGUCUUCGGAUUGUAAACUCCUGUCAUGCGUGAACAAGGUUGCUUGGUUAAUACCUGGGCAAAUUGAUGGUAACGCAAGAGGAAGAGACGGCUAACUCUGUGCCAGCAGCCGCGGUAAUACAGAGGUCUCAAGCGUUGUUCGGAAUCACUGGGCGUAAAGGGUGCGUAGGUGGCGUGGUAAGUCAGAUGUGAAAGCCCGGGGCUCAACCGCGGAACUGCAUCCGAUACUGCCAUGCUAGAGUACUGGAGAGGUGACUAGAAUUCUCGGUGUAGCAGUGCAAUGCGUAGAUAUCGAGAGGAAUACCAAAGGCGUAGGCAGGUCACUGGACAGUUACUGACACUGAGGCACGAAGGCCAGGGGAGCGAACGGGAUUAGAAACCCCGGUAGUCC